GACGAACGCUGGCGGCGUGCUUAACACAUGCAAGUCGAACGGAAAGGCCCUGCUUUUGUGGGGUGCUCGAGUGGCGAACGGGUGAGUAACACGUGAGUAACCUGCCCUUGACUUUGGGAUAACUUCAGGAAACUGGGGCUAAUACCGGAUAGGAGCUCCUGCUGCAUGGUGGGGGUUGGAAAGUUUCGGCGGUUGGGGAUGGACUCGCGGCUUAUCAGCUUGUUGGUGGGGUAGUGGCUUACCAAGGCUGUGACGGGUAGCCGGCCUGAGAGGGUGACCGGCCACAUUGGGACUGAGAUACGGACCAGACUCCUACGGGAGGCAGCGGUGGGGAAUAUUGCACAGUGGGCGGAAGCCUGAGGCAGCAACGCCGCGUGCGGGAUGACGGCCUUCGGGUUGUAAACCGCUUUCGCCUGUGACGAAGCGUGAGUGACGGUAAUGAGUAAAGAAGCACCGGCUAACUACGUG
Molecule: ribosomal RNA, 468 nt
Filed under: uncultured bacterium
Lineage: Bacteria
Description: partial 16S ribosomal RNA
Rfam family: Bacterial small subunit ribosomal RNA
Source: RNAcentral